Molecule: ribosomal RNA, 468 nt
Filed under: uncultured bacterium
Lineage: Bacteria
Description: partial 16S ribosomal RNA
Rfam family: Bacterial small subunit ribosomal RNA
Source: RNAcentral
ACGAACGCUGGCGGCGUGCUUAACACAUGCCAGUCGAACGAUGAAGCGCCAGCUUGCUGGUGUGGAUUAGUGGCGAACGGGUGAGUAACACGUGAGUAACCUGCCCCCUACUCUGGGAUAAGCCUGGGAAACUGGGUCUAAUACUGGAUAUGACCAAUCACUGCAUGGUGUGUUGGUGGAAAGAUUUUUUGGUGGGGGAUGGACUCGCGGCCUAUCAGCUUGUUGGUGGGGUAAUGGCCUACCAAGGCGACGACGGGUAGCCGGCCUGAGAGGGCGACCGGCCACACUGGGACUGAGACACGGCCCAGACUCCUACGGGAGGCAGCAGUGGGGAAUAUUGCACAAUGGGCGAAAGCCUGAUGCAGCGACGCCGCGUGAGGGAUGACGGCCUUCGGGUUGUAAACCUCUUUCACCAGGGACGAAGCUAACGUGACGGUACCUGGAGAAGAAGCACCGGCUAACUACGUG